Molecule: long non-coding RNA, 18018 nt
Organism: Myiozetetes cayanensis
Lineage: Eukaryota; Metazoa; Chordata; Aves; Passeriformes; Tyrannidae
Exons: 8
Source: RefSeq, a predicted model, not a curated record
CUGGAAGAUUUUUUUUUUUUUUUCCCUCGCUGUCUCCUAUGCUGGCAACGUCCUGCGAGUGGCUGUUUUGCUUUCGCACUGAGAGAAGAGCUUUCCCCCUCACCCUCUCUGCUGACAGGGGACAUGCCCACCAGCAAUGGAAUCCAUCUACACCAUCACUCAAAGAAGCAUCCAGAAGCAUCCCAGAUGACCUUUCCUGUCACAGACACAAUACAAGAGAAACCACUGGAAGAUAAACACUUUAAUUUGAAGACUUUAAUUACUGUUUGAUAUGAACACCUUAUGGAUGAAAUCCACAUACUGAUGUCUAACCUGUAACAAAUGCCAAUGUUUUGACCUUUCAAUAGAGAGCUGAUUUUGGAGAACGGCUUACUCCUGUGACUGAAAAACUCUCUGGAAGGUUGAUGGAGCAUGAGCUUGAACUACAGUCUUAAACAUGAAUUCAGAAUUUCACUGUUACUUCAGGAGAGGAACAAUCAAGGAGCAAAAAUAAAAAAGGAGAGAAGAAAAACUCACUAAUCUUUCCCCCAUGUGGCCUGCCAAACCUUUUUUGUGCUUACGGAUAGCCCUGUUAAUUUGCAGAAGUUGUUUAUCAUGAACUGACUAGAAGGCUUAUUGCAGUGAAGUGGAGUGCUUGGGUCCAUGCUGAGGACUGAUCGUAAAUAAAGGAAAGACAUAUAUAAGUUUGCUUUGGUUUACCUGAAAACUGAACUUUUUAAAGAAGCCAUCUCAAGCUACACCUGUCUAACAAUGCUUUGGUAAGUGUGGUUUUUUUAUAUAUUUAAAAACUAUAAAAAUUAUGUUACUUUAAUUGUCAGUAUUUUAUUAAUAAAACCCUUAAAACUGUGUAUUCAUUUUUACAGCAUUUUUUAAAUGAAUGGAACUGGGAAAUUUUUGGUCAUGCUUUUAGCAAAGAGAACUCACAAAGCAAAAGUGUCUUCCAAAUUUUUUAACAAAACCUAUUAAUCACUUCAUUUCUGAAUCUGCUAUAGACACAUAACAGUUUUAUUGUUAGAAGUUUAAACUGUGGAUCCGACUGAAUUUACUAAUUUUUUUCUCAUCUUCCACUAAGAUUUUUCUCUUGCAGGAGAAUCUUUCAUUGAGAUUGAAAUCACUGCAGUGAGAAUGGAAAUUACUUGGGCUCCUUUCCUUUUAAAAGCUGCAUGCAAGAACUGUGUGGUGAGUCAAAUGUAGACUAAUGGUUAUGUAAAUGUCACUAAUUUUAGAUACAGAUCUGAAAGUGUGUUUCCUUUUAAGAUUUUAUUUUCUUCACUAUCAUGACUCAGUAUCACUUGCUAAUCUAAUUUUAUUAGCCCUGUUGUAUUUUACCAUUUAAAAUACGCAUACCUUCUUCAAUUAAGUGCUCACAGAGUCAAGUUUAUAUAUCAUAUAGAUGUUUUAAAAGGAGGAGAAAAGCUUAUCUGCGCUGGGGAUUUGUUUUCACUUCAGCCUUCACAAGCCUGCUACUGGUGCAGUUGCACAGGUACAAACAUGAUGUAGAUGAAUAUGAAUCCAAGUUUUUAUAAUUCAUAAAUUUGCAUUAUUUGACUGUAUAGAAUUUCAACCUGGUGUAUGUGCUGCUAAAAAUUACGCUUUUCUUGUCUGCUACUGCUACAGAUUUGAACUGUUGAAACUACUGAUGGCUAAAAUUCUCAAUUUAGUUCAGACCUGAGCAGUUCUCAGUAGCAAAGCUGUGCAUAAUUAGAUAGCCUAUGGCUUUUCGUAAAGAACACUUCCAUGUGUACCCUUACCUUUUACAGGUCUCUUAAGAUAUGUGACCAAAAAGAGGUUGAUUAUUUAGAAAAAAAUAUGCUAUCUGACUCAAAGUUUGGAUAGCUUUCUCACUAAAUUUCUUAAAGUAGCACUAUGUUAUUUUUGCUUAUUUUUAACUACUUAAUAUUAAAGACCUGCACAUACAUUUCAACUGUUUUAAAACUUAAAACUGCUUGGCUGUACCAGGUUCUAUGAGUUAUAAAAGAAAAACGUGUUAUUCUUCUACUAUGCCACUUCCUUUAAAGGUCACUGAUUUUUGUCAGCCAACUGUAGACUGCUGCUUGCAGAGGAUCAUCCAUCCUGUUGCUCUUAUAGAUCUGGUGUUUUAAUAUAUCCAGGAUUUUUCCCAGGGACUUGUAUGAGUAGAUAUGAAUCUAAGGAGCUGAUCAGAAAGACCUGAGAGCAUGCAACAAGUAAGUCUAUUUGCAUGGCUUUGUCAAAGUCCAACGGCCAAACCAUGUGUUCCUGACUACUUCAUUGUGUCCAUGUAGGCCUUCAUGGGAUCAGUGAAACAGGCUGUUUCCUUCUGCUUCUCAAUGCAAACCCCUAUCACUGGCACAAGGCAGGAGAUGGCAGAGAAGGGGAAGAAGCAGAAGGGUGAAGGUUGGACCACCUUGUUUGUUGGCUGUAGCAACUUAAAACAGUUCAGUGACAUGAUGAAAAUACAAUCUGAGCAUUUGCAGAACCAGAGUUCAACUGAGGAACUGAAGUUCCUGUCAGGAUUAAGAAAAUUACUUGAAGUGCUUAUGAAGACCUACUCAAAUGAUUUGUAUCCUAAACUUUUGGAAAGGAUGUUGUAUUUCUCACAUGGUUCACAGGUGGCUUAAAUAAUAUUAGUAGUUAUAUUUUCCAGAGGUUUGCCUGCAUGGAUGGUGCCACAGGCUGUGACCAAAUCAAACUCUCUGCAUUGCAACUCUGGGAUCCUAAGGACUGUGCCUGAUGUGAGAAAAGAAGACUCACUGUUUUCAGUUCAGGUGCUUAUUUUCUGCUAGGCUUAGGAACUGCACAGGAAAAAGAUGCCUAAUUCAUAUAAAAGAGAAAGAAAGGUAGGCCUGCUUGAAAAUAAACUGAGACUAGUAGCUGUAUAGGUGUGAAAAUGUCUAGUGAGAGGAGCAUGUCUAAAAAUCUAGUGUUGAAAGACUGGAGCUGAGAACUGAUAGGGGAAAGACAGAUCUGAUAAACUGGAAAAUCUGAAGGAUUGAAUUGGGUUGGGCAAAGAUUUAGAGUUUGUUUCUUGAAAUUGGAAGAAGCAGCAGCCUGACAGAAAGGAUCUGGCUUGAGGCAAAGAGAACGAGUCAGGCCUGGGAGAAAGGGCUUGCACACUUCAGAUCAUUCCUAAAAUUCACUAGGGUGUUCUGCACUUGAGAUCCAGAAGGGAAUGUAAACUGUUAAGUAGUAGCUUUUGCUGUCAUCUGCAAAAUGACUGUCAAUUUCAUUCCCCUCAUCAUAUUCCACAUAGAAAAGAGCAAGCUUAUUAGUACCCUUGGUUGCUACUUUGUGGAUUUUGUUCCUGAAAAGGAAUCCCAAAAUAAGAGUACUUAAGGUAGGAAAGGAACUCUGGAGAUCAUCUAAUUCAAGCAGAGUCAGACAAAGCAGUUUCUUUAGGGCAUUGUCCAAUCAGGUUUUGUUUAUCUUCAAGGAUGGAGACUCCACAACCUAUCCUGUUGAGACACAAUUUCAUGUAGUUAAUUUUGUACCUGUUGCCUCCUGUCCUAUCACUGGACACAAUGGAGAAGAGUCUGCCUAUCUCUUCUUUGCUACCCCUUACCUCCAUCAGCAGGUGUUUAGAAACUUUGAUAAGAUCACACAAACACAAGCCUUCUCUUCUCCAGGCUGGAAGGACACACAAACACAGGUUUUUCUUCUCAGCUCUCUUGGCCUUUCUUUGUGUGGAAGAUUGUUCAGGUCUCUCAUUGUCUUUGUGGAAGUAAAUAAAAUGCUUCAACUAAUAAGGGGAAUUAAAAUUCAAAGGGGGAAAUGUUUUUGUGGGGGCAAUAAACAGAACACACCCUGAUAACUGUAAAAAGAACAUGAAGAUCACAAAAUGAAGCUAUAAGAAGUUAGAGAACUCCUGCUUUAAGGUUCUGCAAUCUUCAUUUGCCCCCUUGUGUCAGUGUAUUAUGAAGCAAUCUUUGUGAUCACACAGAAUAUUCAACCUAAUGAUAGGACUGGCCUGGUGCGGGUGCUGGGCCAGGGAAGAUGUUUUUGGGCAGUGCCAACAAGAAGCUUAAUGCUGAGGAAACACUGGCAGUUCACAUUUGUAGGUGAGUUUCUUGGGAGUUGUCAUUUGAAUUAAAAUACUCUGUAAUGUUAUGUCUGCCCACAAGUCUCCUAUCUUGUUAAAGCAUACCUUAAACUGUGGCAUAGGUAGUUUCUACACCUCGAUGUCACAUUUAAAAUAGGGAUAAUAGAAAUUUCCCUUGAAUUGCUGUUGGGGUUUUGUUUAAAAAAACAAACCACUUUUGUUUAGUAGCUGUACUAGAGUACAUUUCCUCAUGGAAUUUUCUAUGGCAUUCGUCAGUUCUGAUUUUGGAGCAAGAGGUGAGUAUUGUGUAUCUUUUAAAGAUAAGAUCUGCAAUCAGCUUUCCUUGUUACCAGCUCAAGUUGAGAAGCAGAGUUUCCAUAUUGGUGAUUCAUGGUCUACUUGUGCAGUCCUGUGAACGCCCAAGUACUCUGAUUUCUGUCCUGUCUUGUCACUGAUUCAUUUUGCAAAUGUGACUCUUAUUAUUAAAUACUUGUGCCAUUUUUUAAUGUCAUUUCAUGAGUAACAUCUUCAACAUUCUGUAAAAUAUUCUAUUUACACUGAAGGUAAUGUUCACAUUUGAACUUCAGCAUAUUUGACAAUAAAUUUACCCACGAAGACCUAUUUUGCAGAAAGAAUGAGUGAGUUGUACAGUGGUAAGCAGUGCAUUGUUAACAUUGUAAAGUAACUCAAGACUUCUACAGGCUAUUGUUCUUCAAAUUUCAAAACCAGUUUUCUUGAUACUUACUGCAUAUGGCACACUUUGCUGAGUGAGAGUGGUCUGCACUGGGUAUUUAGAUACAGAGAUCUGAAAAUGUUUCAGCUUUUCCCUUAAUCAUGGUAUCUUGUUAAGUAUUGAGGGAAGUCUGUCCUAGACAGCUAGCAAUACUAACGGUAAUGAUGGAAAUUUGAAAUGUUUAGACUUCCUUUAUCUUCUUCAUCACAACCUGUCAUAGAAAUCACAAGAAAUGAUAGAAAUAUAUCCAAAGUGGUGAGCUGCUAUUUUUUUUUAAACAAAAAGUUUAAAAUGUACUUGAGGGAAAACUUACAUCUGAGAUAUAUGUGAAUCUCCUUUCUAAGGUGGAAGUUGUGUGUAUCAGAAUAAAAUGUUUACCUAUAAAGAGAAAUAAGAAAUAAUUAUGGAAAAAAAUGCAGUGGCACAAGUGACAAUGCUCAUCUUUCUGUGAAGGGGAUAAUAAUCUUUGGAGUAUUUUUCACUUUACAUAGUUUAUUUCUGUUAGAAGUUAUUUAAUGGCUCUCAGGUGCAAUUCUAUUUCUUUCCACAUUUUAUUCACAUAUAAUAACUGUAUUUGUUAAUAAAUCAAAUUUGAUUUUAUCUAAUAUUGCUUCUGUCUCUUAAUGUAAAAUUUGAACCUUAUUUUUGAAAGUUCUGAAAUUAACAAAUUAAUUAUAGCAGCAUUUAUCCAGCUUGUAACUUCAGUCUAAAGUAAACAGUGCUGAGUAGCUAAAGGCUGACUUAGUUUCUGUUGAAAGACAUGAAUAAUAUAUCCAUAUUGUUCUUUUAUGCUGUUUAUAGCCAUAGGAGACAGAUAUGGAUAGAAAGUUUCACAUUUCCCUAUGUUUCUGCAGGGCAAGCAAGUGGCUUUAUUACCUAUAAAGGAACCUUCUGUAAGCAGCUUUUACACUUUUAAGUGGUUUUAAAAGUAAAACAUUUUGGAAUCUCUCAACAAAUACACAGAAAAACUUUUAGUGUUAUAAAAUUUGAAGUAUAUAAGGCAAAAAUUAUAGCAUAUAAAGUCUCAGAUGUAUACAUUUUAAGCUUUUAUUGAAAGAAAGGCAAAUUAAAAGCUUCAGGGGUUACAUUAUUGGACCAGUUAGAACAGUCAACAAUAAUAUAUGACUGUGGUUCUACAGUCCUGUGAUUCUCAAGCCAGACAAGUUUUGGGACUGAGAGCCUUCCUGUUUCCUUCAACAUCGUAUGGCUCUGAUAUUUCCAUGGUGGUUUCACUGAAUGACUUUAGGUUAGUUUUUGGUAUGCUCAGCCAGCUGAAUGUGCUUGCUACGUGAGCAACAAUGCUGGCACCAAGAAAAGCACCCUCCACUCUCAAGAAUGGCAAUCCAGUUUAAAUUUAAAGUUUAAUUGCUUAAAUCACUGUAAAGAAUAUUCAGGGCCUUAUUCUUCCUUUCUUCAUAGUCCUACAGAGAGGCUUUGCCUAUCUGCUGUUUAAAUCAGUAUUAAAGAGACUAAAGACAUCUUCAUCUCCCUCUUUCCUUCUGCAGAAGAUUGGUAUCUACAUAGAAAACCAACACAAAAAUGCUUAUAUAGAUAUAGCUUCUUAGCAUAUGGAAACAGCUGCAACACACCUUUCCUGUCAUGAAGACAUUGUGAAAGUGUCCCUCUUUCCCAACAAGCGAUAUCUGGGUUUUUUUCAGACACAUCAAUAAAUACAUUAAAACUGUAUUAUCCAUCUAUGUAUAAUGGAACUUCUGACUCAAAAAUAAGAAAUUUUCAGUAACAUGAGACAAAGGUGGACAAGAGCUCUAAUGUUUUGCAGGUAUGAAAUCUGUUAAAUGGCCUGUGUGACAACCAAUUUUAGGAAGUGUCUGUGGAUGGUAGGUGGUACAGUCAGAAAAAGGAUUUCACUGCAGCUUCGAUAACAUCGUGUAGCCAGACAGCCCCCUGUUGGUUGUAUUGUUAUGGAGGUUCCAGAAGGGAAUAGUGCUUGAAUUCAGCUAUUCAUUGCUUUCAACAAGCUGGGGGCUUUUCAUUUCCAUAUCACAAAUAGAGAAAAUGGAGGGGGAAAAAAUGUAUGUGCUUGUAAAAACUACCUUUGAAUCAAGUUUUAUCUCUUGUGUAUAAGAGAAAUGUUAAAGCCUGGUUAAAUAGAGUAUCUGCGCAGUUUCUUAAUGCCUCUUAAUGCCUCUAUAGAAGCUUAUUUUUAAAACGCUAUAGUGAAAAUGUAGAGCAGUACUUUGCCCUUGUGAAAGAACUUAAGACUAGCAUACUUUAAUAUCACAUUUACAGUCUUACUAAUGCAAAGUAUUUAGAUAAACUGCUGUCAAGAAUUAAAGUAAUAGAUUUUAAAACAUAAAAGUUUGUAAGCUGGCAGUGAACUAGCCAGAUACAUGCUCCAGCUUUGUUUAAUGGCUGAGACUCUCUUGUAGGCACAUCUAAAAGAGCUUCUGCUAUUUAACAAGUCAGUUUUACCAAGAGGCUUGGGUUUGGGUUUUUUUUUUAUCUUGUUUCCUUUGCUUUAAUCUGUUCUUUGUAUGUGUUUUAAAUUGCUACCAAUGCAAGUAGCUGCAUACUUCCAGUUUGUGUUUUCCCACAAGCUGAGAAACAAAAACCUUGUUCUUCAAGUGAAAUAGGUAUCUAACAUAUUGGGAAAUUAAAGGACACAAAUUAGGUAUUUUGGCUUUUUUUUUUUUUUUUUUUUUUUUAACUAAAAGUGCUUGUAAAGAGAACCUGGGAUCUCCCUUGUAAUGGUUGUUGUAUAUCUGUGUGAUAAUGGAAUGCUGUGGGUACUGUAUGAGGUAGCCAGGAAAGUUUCCAGGAAAGACUCUGUCUCAGAGGCACAGGGUCUUGUGCUUUGACAUAAACAAUACAGAGGUGAUCUCUUUCUGUAUCAGAUAAGGCCAAGGUUAUAACAGCUCAUUUUCAUCUGAGGAACUGGAGUUGUGGCUGAAAAUCCGCAGCUGCAACAGUGUUAGAGAAACUGAUAUAAGAGUUAAUCUUCUACUACAGUACAGAAGACAGCAUGAUUCCAAGAAAGCCAAAGUGCUUAAGGUAUCUUUCUCCUAUUCAAAGCAUGUUAAAAAAAUCUAUUGUAAUCAGAUAUCUUUAAACUGUUGGCAGAAGCAACAGAGGGUGAGGAUACAUACUGUGAUUGAAAAGGGGGAAUGGGAAAGAUGGGGUCAGACCAAAGAGCUGGUUUAAAAUUGUCAUGACUUGCUAAAAUCCGUCAGAAGAGUUUAAGAAACUGGCUGAAACAAGGUGAGGGUACUCUUCCAUGAAAUAGAAAACCUGGUUUUCAGAAGCCCAAGGAGAUUGAAGUUCACAUCUCUUCUGAAAAAGGACCCAGUGGAAGUUGAAGUUGCCCACAGAUGUUACCCAUCUUUCUUGUUAAAUCAAGGAUAUGUGCAAAACAGAAAUCACAAAAUGGUUUUGUUCAAAGAUUGUUGGCAGUGAUAGCUAUUACUCUUAGCAGAUGAAAGCAAGCUGCAGGUAGGAUUUCAAAGGGUAGUGGAAUUUGCUUUUAUUGGACUAACUGUGCAGUGCCUUGCAAUUCCAUAUUCUUUUCCUAAGAUAUUUCCUGAAGUAACAGUAAAAUGAGCAUACAAUAAAUAUAAGUACCCAUUAAAGCACACUAAAGGAAUACCUUAUGUUUUCAGUAGAUGAACACUGAGAUAACUAAGUAUUUCUGAAUUGCAUCACAGAUCUCUGUUAUGCCAAAGUUCUGGUUUUUAUUGCUAAAAAGAGCACCAGUAAAGGUGGCUUUAAACUGCUUUAUGCUCCUACAUUCUCUAAAUCUGCUGAAGAUGGAAAGCAGAGAGCAACUACAUGUCUGUUCAACAGCCAGCAAAGGGAUUCACCUCUUCCCUCCUGCCAUCUACCUUCAAACUGUUUUCUUGUGUUUGAAGAAGUUUUUUGAGUUUCAGGGGAGUUUGUUUGUUUGUUUGUUUUACAAGAGAAUUUACAAUCCUCCUCACAAAUUGGCAGCAUAGGUAAGAGCCUGUUCUAGGUUGAAGAAGAUUCAAAUAACUUAUCCUGCUCAGAAAAAUUGCUACAUUCUUCCUCUUAUGAGGAGUGGUUACACACUCCAUUUCCAAAUCAGGAUUAAACUUUAGGGUUUCCUCAUGGUUCUUGGAGUAUCUUUAAUUUUUAUUUUGUUUGAACAGUUUUAGUAGCUUAGGACACAUAGGUAACUUGCAGAGCUCUUACAUUGUGUCCCAUUAUUUUACGCUUACUCAGGCAUAAAGCAGCCUGAGAAAGGCACUGCCUUCCUCUAUGAAUGUAUCUCAGUUUCCUCUAGAACUGCAGCUUUUAGAGGCUGCAGUUUAGCUGUGAGCAGUUGUCCAGAGCAGUGGAGACAUUUUUAAUGGUAAUUGACAAAAUCCUAACUGUAUCUCCAUUUUUGGUUUUGUUGGGUUUGGGUUUUUUGUGUUGUUUUAGUGGGUUUUUUUCAUAUUUAUUGUAGAGGUUUUUAAAAAUAGCACCUGGUCCUGGUGAUAUGUAAUGUUUUGAGUUUCUCAGGCUGGCAACAGGCUCUUCUUUUGAGACACUUAGGCCUGGGGAAAUUACUCUGAAUCCCCAUAAGGCACAUCCUUGAGAUAGGAAUUUCUUUGUCACCCUGUAUGUUGAAAACAAAUAAUUUAUAUUGUGCUUCUUUACCUUUGUAAUUUUCUUUCAUCUGCCUCUUGGUAUUACAUAGACAAAACAAACAAACAAAAAAAAAACACCUUCCUGAAUUCUAUUAUCUUUAAAAGUACUUGGAAUUCUUGUGUGUGUGUGUGUGUGUGUGUGUGUGUGUAUGUGUUAUACAUUGAUAUACAGGUGCUGCUUGCAACCAUUGGUAUCUGCAUCUGGAACUCUUGAGUGGGACAAUGUUGUUCAGCAGCACUUGUGAAAGCAACAACUGUUUCCUUGUGCAAGAGCGGUGUUAAUCCUGCCACACCCUCAUUUUUUUGACUACCAGUGUCUGCAAAGAGAGCUCUUCAUUAGCCAAUGAUAGUAGCAAUUUUCUUUUUCGCUAAUCUUUAUUUGUGUUUUCUUAUUCACUAAUUUAUAUUAACACUUAAAUAGAUAUUAAGAUGUGGUUUAGUUUAGAAACUGUAGCAUUUCUGGUUUGUUCAGGGUUUUUUUCUCUUUGGUUGGAGAAACUGCAUUAGCCUGUGAAGAAUUCCAUGUCAGUGCAUACCCCACGAAUGAGCACAACCUCCCUGGCGUUCAGACACUUAGUGUGUGAUGUAGUGGUGUCAUUAAAGACUAUCUGCAUAAGAUACAUUUUACUUGACUUGAUGAGCAUCACAUGAAUCUUCUGAGAAGGCUGAGCAAGCAGAACAUCUUGCCUCAAGAUGUCACAAGUGAUACAGGCAGGCACCUGGCCUCUGGUUCUAGUUUGCCUGUGCAGAAACACUUGAGAAAGACCAGAACUUUUUUGGUUUUCCCACUUCUUGUCCUAGGCUGUCAGCAAGUCUCCUAACAUGGCUAGACCUUGAUUAGAGGGUGACAAGGAACAGAACAUUUGCAAAACAGAUCCCGAUCUGUUUCUACAUAAAUCCUGAAGAAGUUAAGCAUAGCUCAAACCUGGGAGCACCAGGCAGUCCAGUGAUGCAGAAUUGGAAUUUUUCUGGUGUGUGGUCUACAGUUCUUGGAUCCCUUGGCAGCCAUGAUUCUAGAGCAGAAAUUAUCAGUAACAAUGACACCAAAAUUAAAUAUGGCAAGGUCAAAUCACUUUUGGAUAGCAGUGUUAUGAAAGUUCAGCAGGGCUGAACACUUGUUAACCACUUACAGGCUUUUUUGACUCAGCAAGUUAAUCCUUCAACAGUUCUCCUUGCUUAUUCUGCUAUCCAUUAGACAGGAUAACUUUGGGGCUAGACAAGAAGAGUUCACAAUCCUAUGCCUUUGCAUGCAGAAAAUCCUGAAUGUAUAGCGUGCAUUUCUUGCAGAGUCGAGGCGAUGCAGCCUCUUUAUGCACAAGACCAACCCCCACCUUGCUACAACCUCCUUUCAGGUAACUGUAGAGACCUUCUUUGUUGCCCCAGGCAGCCAGCAAGAGGACAACAGGAAAUGGCCUCAGACUGUACCCAGGGAAGGUUUAGGUUGCACAUAAGGAGGAAUUUCUUCUCAGAAAGGGUAAUUAGACAUUGAAGUGGACUGCCCAGGGAGGUGGUGGAGUUACUGUCCCUGGAGGUGUUUAAGAGAAGACUGGAUGAGGCACUCAGUGCUGUGGUCUACCCGACAUGGUGGUGUUUGGUUGGUCAUAGGUUGGACUUAAUCUCAGAGGUCCUUUCCAACCAAAUUCAUUCUGUGAAAGCUGCCUCCAAUAACAGCAAAUACUGAUACCUAGAGCAAAGAGAAGCUGAAGUUUUCUCUGCUGCAGAAGGAGCUGCCUUCUGAAAAUGAGGGUCUCAAAUAGUGUAUUAUUAAUAUUGCAAAUACUAAUUUAAAAUGGUUAGAAUUGCCACAGACAUCUCGGGAGGAAUUUAGACAUGGUGCAGUAGAGAGCAUUGAUGGCAGUAACAACAUUUCCAGAGACAGACAUCUUUAUAAAAACUAUUUCCUUAUGGGUUUUCUGAAGCACAGGCUUUGCAUUCUCUUUGUAUAGACAAGGUUGUUCUUAGAUUCCCAAGACAAGUAAACACCAGUUUCCAAGCACAGGCAUCACACAGCACAGGUUUUCCAACCAUACAGACCUUCAUGCCCUCCAGGAAAGCAGCACAAGACUUUGCCUCCAGUAGAAGACCUGCAUGCUUGUCACCACUUGUUUCAGAAGAGCAAAAACCCACAUGUGCAUGCCCUGAACACUCCAUAAGUGAUUUAAGAACUGGCAUUGGAUUGUUCAUUCAUGGCUUUAUCUUGGCGCUGAGGGUAGACAAGAAGAUCAUCUCUACAGAAUAGGGAUGAUCCAAACCGUAUCUGCCUGAUAUUCCACUAGCCUUGUAUGACUUCACAUGAUCAGCUUUUCUGUUCAGUCUCAGAGCCUAACUCAGAAGCUCAGUGAGAGCAUGGGUCAUGAGUCAGAGGAUAGUGAGGCACUGGGAGGGGUUGUCCAGAGAAACUGUGAAUGCCCCUUCCCUGGAAGUGUUCAAGGGCAGGUUGGAUGGAGUUUGAACCACCUGGUCUGGUGGAAGGUGUCCUUGCCCAUGUCAGGGAGGCUGGAAUUAGAUGAUCUCUAAGGUCUCUUCCAACCCAAACUACUCUAUGAUUCUGUGGGUCUGACUUUCAGUAGCCAUCCACAAGACACUGCUACAGCACAGCUUAUGAGUACAAACCGUAGCCAACAGAGAAGUCACACAAGUGUUCCUGUGCCUGUUAGUGCAUUUUCCAGCCAAGUUCUGCAGGGAAUCUCUGAAAGAUGAGUCUUGCAAAUGGAUCACCUUUUGUCCAUCCUUUUCCCAAAUGUAUCCAUAGAGAUACAGGGACUGCAUAUGGACACUAGGAAAUUCUAGAUUGCACUGUCACACUUCAAAUGUCAAACUCUAUAAAAGCAGAAAGCAUCAUUGGCCUAAUCAAGAUGGGAGAAAUAUCUCAGUUACGUUAAGAGCCAUGCAGAUACAAUUUUUUAUUUACAUUUCUGACUUGGCCAUAGUUAAUCAUUGAAGAUAUUAAUGUGUUCCAGAGAUCCACAGUUUACUGAGCCAUCUUUGGAAGAUAAUGUUUUGAAUGAUCAUAGGUAGCAAAGGAAUAUUAUAUGGCUUAAGGAUCAAAUUGCAAGUGGGGAAAACAAUGUAAACCGGUCUGUUCCAGGAGAUACAUUUCCAGUUUAUGGAAAAUUAGGAAUUUACUAAUAGGGUUAGUGCUCACCAUACUGCAACUGGAAUUGAAACAAAGUCCACCAACAGGAAAUAUCCAGAAAGUAUCCGGCAGGCUUGUCACCCCAGUGCUGCCAAAACAGUGCUGUUAUUCUGAUUUUCAGAGUUUGUCUAUUUGACCUUUGAAAGCUUAGCUUCUCUUUGCAGAUGUAAGGAAUCAGCAUGAUUAAUCCAUCUGAUGUCUGGAUCCUGCAAUGUCUCGCUUCACAGCAUAUAUGCAGAAAUUACCUCCUAGAGAAAAAUUCUCUUCCUCAGGUAUGCAAACUAUCGAUGUAAGAUGUUCUGAAGAUGCAUUAACCUAACGCACUGGGGAAAAAAAAAGUCCCUAUAGUCUCAAACAUUUACGUCUCCUCUGUAGGUUGUUCUGUGCCAUUUCCAUGUUCAUAUAGCAGCUAUCACCCACCCAUUCAUUCACCCCUGUGAGAUCUGCUUUUCCUUAUCCAGUGGAAUUGACAUUUCUGACAGCUCUGUUAACUGUCCUCCCUUCAAUAAAUUUAAAUCUAUUAUUUAAAUUUAUGUCAAUAAAUUUACUGAAAUAAGUUGUGUGUCUUUGGUCCCACAAAAGCCAUGAUUCUUUCCAGCCUAAUUUUAUUCCUUAACACCCUCUCUCUGUAAUAGGAAAGAAGGGAGUUGGCCGCCUUCUGUGGAUCUCUUCUGCCUGCCCUCAUCACGUAGCCUUUUCCUCUGUUCCACCAGUACCAGGCUGAGGAGUGGGCUGAAGACGUAUUAAAAACACAAAGAUUAAAGGAUAGAAGGAUGAGCAUGCCUUCUGUUUAUUGUUGAAUACAACAUUGUAAAUAAACCAGUAUGUCAGCAAUUAUUUUAUUACUCAGUUUAGAUAUCACUGGGGAACAAAAACAAAAACUGUAGACCAGUCUUUUCAGAAGGCCCUCAAUGAAAGCUACCAACUGCCUUUGAAAUUCAAAGAAAACUCAGGUCCUGACUCUAAAGUACUAGUAAAACCCCAGACUUGAUGUUUCCAAUCUAUUGCCUUUUUUUUUUUUUUUUCCAGUGGAGAAUCAGGAUGGAACAAUGUUGCAAUGUUUAAUUCUUCACAGUUUCAGCAAGCACUCAACUGACUGCUGUAACAGUAACUUGCUUAGAAAGCAAAGCCCUAAAUUAAUUUUCUUCAGCAGACUUGUACACAUUACUGUUUCCAACCUUUAGGGCUACAUUCAUCAUCCUUCUGACCAGAAAAAAAGCCACCAAUUAUUGAACCAUUCCAUUAGAAUGAAAACAGAGUAGAAAUGGAGGAAGGAUUCUUGGAAAAAUUUACACAUCAGAUCACACUUCAGGGUGUUAUUUCAGUAGAAAAUACAUGAUGGUCUAGAAAACUGACAUUGCCUUUUUUUUUUCUUUUUUUUUUUAAUAGAAGUCAGAUUUAUUUUUAUUUUAUAUGAUGACUAGUGAUUUACAUUUCACCCACCCAUUUGAGAGUGUUCAGGGCUCCAGGCAUAUCUCCAGUCAGAACCAGACUAUUCAAAUCAUUGUUGGUCCAUCCAUUUGCUAGUCACAACAAGGCCUUCUGUGACUAAUUAUGACCUGACGGCAGCAGGAGAGGCAGCUUCAAAGAAUGGGAAUCUUCAGACGCACUAGCAGUUCCCUUGGUUCCCAAAUUUUUUAUUUAUGUGGAUUACAUUGAGUUGACAGAUUUAACUGGGCUGUUGAAGAUAUGGUCAAAGAAGCAGAGUCACUCCCUUCCCUUUUAUUGUUUUCUGAAGACAUAACAGUCAUAUGCAUCUGUCAUUAAAGAGAGGAAGUUCUCCAUCACUGGACUUCAUUUGGGCUUUUAUUUGCUGUUUCAGUAGCAUCUGGGAGUAGAUCAAUAUAAUAUUUGGUAGGGAGUUGUAUUUCCUCGUGAUGCACUGUAAAUCUUUUAUUGAAGGUACUCCCUCUGUUUAUUGUUGAAAAUCGAUAAAAAUAAACCUUGUAAAGUUAAAGCCUGGCAAUGGUUCAGCACAAAUCAGAGGGAAGAAGCAAUGAGCCUCCCUCCUCCUCUUGGAUAACUCCCAGCUUGUUUCUCAAUGAAUAUUCAGUAACACUUUCCAGCAAUCUGGGAACAAAUUUUAAAAAAAAAAAAAAAAAAAAUUCAAAGUCAUGAAUGCUUCGUUGUGAACUCAAACAGGGCUUCUGAUCCACUUUGGUGGCUUUCUGGUACUGAAUUGGAAUAUACCUUUAGACUUAUCCACUCCAGAGACAGACAAAAGCACAUCAGCCUUGUUCAGCUCAGAUUAAAGGAGUUAUUGCUGAGCAUUGGAAAGCUGGGAAAUAACCAAAAUAGGUAGAAAGUAGGAAGAGCCCAAUGUGCAGAAAAGUUUCUCCAAAGAUAACAGAAGUAACUACCCCUGGGCAUGAUACAGUUACUCCAGCAUCAUUCUUUCACCCUAUGGCUAUUAUUCCUCAUAUACAGCCUCUUAGGGAGCACUUUUCUACUAUUUCCAUGAAAUUCAGUGGUUUGGAAUUAUUUAGUUGAGGGGGAAAUUUCCCAGUACUGUGGCCAGAGCAAAGAGAUCAGUCUUAAUCUAAACAGUAUCUCAGUCUAUAGUAUCAGUUUUAAUAGCUUUAUUUAAACUUCUAUUCUUAAUAAAUUAUACGUUCACAUGAACACUGGCUGCAGAACCUGUAAGAAUGCAGUGACUGCACUUCCCAAAGAAACAAAAACCCCCAUGAACUGUCAUACUGAAAUCAAUACUCAAAGAACAAGAAGGUAUUUCACAACAGACUCUCUCCUUCCUGCUAUCAGCAGAUUACUGAACAAUUUGGGUGGUAAAUAAAUUACAUGUCCCCAGAAGAGAUAAGAAGGACAUGAGAACUUUCCACUGUGUGAAGAAGCAGUCAUAAAGUUAGCUAUAAGCACAAAAAAUUACAUCAAUCACUACAAAAGGAAAUCAUCACAGUACAAGAAUGGGAAGAUGGGAAAAAUGUGGUGCCUCUAUCCCACUGGGAUAUCCAACAGGCACCAAAAGAUUGUGCUGGUAAAGGCCUUGACAGGGCUUUACAUAAUAAGGAAUAAAUAAAUAAUAUAGAAAUACAGGCUGCAAUCCAACUAUAAAGGAGGGAAAGGUGAUUAAAAUACAAAAGAAAACGAGGUGUUGCCUUUCUCAGUCAUCUGCUGUUUACAAAUCCACCAAGCUAUCACCUCUUCUUAGACGAUCUACUGCUGCCAUGCAAACUGCUGCCCGUGUGGGACAGGAUGAUGGUGUUAUCUUACCUAGUGAUCUGUUUACUGCUCUGGCAGUCUGCUUGCCUGCUACAAAGCCAAGGAGAGCUCACUGCUUGCUGUGAGUGAGAGAGAGGGCUGCCCCAGCACUGCAGCAGUCCCUUUCUAGCAUCUAGGACAGUGGAGCAGUUUGCACAUUUCUGCUGAAUCCAGGGAAUAAUAAAAAGGUAAAUACAGCAGUUAAAUUUACUGAAAUCAGCAAAUUUUGCAUCUUCCCAGGAAAAAGAAAGGAAUUCUCUUGAGAAAGUUGGCAAUGACGAUGAAGUGGAUCAUGUCAGGGAUAACAAAUUUUGUCAUUGGAAAAAGGAGUCUAAAUGUGUCAAAAUCCCAUUCCUAUUUAAUCAAAAAUAGAGCUAGAUGUGAGCAAUCAGAGCUUCUGGCUCUGUCACAUGUAAAAGCAUGACCAAGUCACCUACAAUACAUUGCUAGUCUAAGAGAGAUUGUGCUGUGAGGUAUCAGAGUUAACUUGCCUGCCAAGAUCUGGGUGAAAGUACUCGGUUUAACACAUAAUCUGGUUUUGACCAAGCAGCUUUUUGAAUCACUCAGACUUGUAGUCCCCAUCAGCCAAGUUCACUUCUACUUGUACAGCUGUUCCCUUCCUCGCAAACGCACCCGUGUGAACCACUCUGCUGAGCACUUACCACAUGGUCUGCUCUCCGCUGCAUCCCUGUUUUGGGGGACCUCAGAACGGAAGGGGCAGUAACAACAUUGGUCACUCCUAAAUUCCUGCCCUGGUGCCUGCAGGUUACACUGCACACCUCUCCAAAGAGGGCACAGAAGAACUGUCAUCCUGGCUCAGCGAUGCUUUGCAGUAGCAUAAAUAACCAUGCAAGGUGGAGGCCAGCUGAAGAUCCUCCUAGUAAAUCAACACUACUUUUAUAUUAACUUGUCUUCAAAUGAACAUAAUUUUAUCCCUUCUUCCAUGAUUAUUGCGAUUUAGUUGUAGCUUGAAGCUACACAACACCAGUAGCUCUACCAUCCCUGCUUUCAUUUUCUGUAUCAAGAAAUCCAGGAAGGUGCUUUCUGUUGAAGAAGCAGCUUCAAUUAAAUUUAUUAAUUCAAUUAACCUUCAAUUAACAUCAUUAGUUAUCCUACUAGCCACAACACAUUUCUAUCAGGUUCUUCACACACACACACACUCUCAAACUUAUUUAAGCAACUAUCAGUUAAAAAAAAAAAAAAAACCAACAAAAUGAAAGUGUUGUAUAAGAGCCCAGUCAUGUUCUCUGCAGGCACACAAGUGACAGAAGGUGACAAUUCACAGUUCAUUGCUAAGUAAGAGUAAAUGCUAGAAGAACUCUGGGAAUCCAAGCUUGCUGACAGUCAUGUGUUUCGCUUCAAAAAGACAUGUAGUCUCACAGUAUGCCAUUACCCAAGGUCAAGGUAAAGCAUGUACAGUCCUUUACAUGACAGGAAAUUGCACUGGUAUAUUUUUCCAAAUAUAAUGAGAGCCAAAAUAAUGCAUUCAUAGAACGAUGUUGGUGCUGAAUAAAAAUUAAUCCGUGAGGGGAACCAAAAAGUGUUCAGCAUUAGCCCAUCAUAAGUUGUUACUGAAAUGGUUGUACCAAAUAUUCAUUUUGCGAAAGACGUGGACCAUGGGUGAUGCCAUAGGUUAAAACUCCAGGGCUUUUUAAAGAAGGAAAUAUUUCAUAUUUUCUUUCACUUUAUUUAUAAAAAAAGUAAUCCAAACUUCAAUUUUCCAAGUGGCUGCUACAGCAAGGAAAAUAAAGUCAGUAUUCUUGUGGUAGAUGAAAUAGUGUAACUGUUACAAUGAGAGGUUCUGAAACUAGUCUCACUUAGUUUACAUCGCUAUUAUCAUCGAUCAUUUAGGGCAUGACGUCUAAAUACAGCCUCAAGUCUAUUUUUUUAACUUUUUCCAUAAAAAGUGGUCACUUUUUGUCUUGCAUUCUCAUUAUUAUUGGCAAGUUUCUCCAUCAACAGUAUUCACAAUCAACUCACUCAACACUCAACAUUAUUGUUUUCAUACAAGCAGCGUAAUCUCUGUAGUACAGCAACCUGUGGGGACAGGCACCCACACAGCUGUGUCACCUGAAUGCUGCCAUCAGAAGUCUGACCUCAAAGCCCACCAUGACAGGCUUUCUGACACAGACCUUCAGAGAAGGUCUCCACAGAUUCAUAGAACAGGCCAGGCUGGAAGGGAACUCAAAAGAUCAUCUGUGAAUGAUGGUUCUCAUGGUAAGAAAUGUCUUACUUCAAGACAAAUAUGAACAUAGUGACAUGAUUGACAAAAAAAAAAAAAAAAAAUUGACGUGAAAGCAUUCACUCU